GGGGAGGUUUGAGCGACACUGAGCUCGGGGCUCGCCGGCGGCGGCGGCGCUGGGGUGGCGAGGGGAAGGCGACACUCGCUCCUCGCUGCCUUCGUGCAGAGCGACCGGGAGGGUUUUGCAGCGGCCGCCGCCGCCGCGGCGGGAGGAGGGGUUGAGGUGGCUUCUGAGUUAUCCGGAGAAGGUGGGCAUUUCUCGGUUUUCCCACCCCCUCCCCUUGUCUCCCCCUUGCCUUGUCUCCCCCCUCCCUCCUGCCCCGCACCCCACGUGAAGCGGAAUAUAAAGGGGGGUGUGAGACUAGAGGGGAAAGUGAAUGGCGAAGGACUGAAGGGGUCCCCCCUUCGGGUCCCUGGCCGCUCUGUUCACCCUCGUUCAUCCUCCCUUCCCGAAGCUCGCCCUCGAAGGCAGGAGCGGCCGGCGCCUUCGGCUGAGGAGGAGGAGAAGGAGGAACCGCGCCGGGCGGAGCGUCAGGUCCCGUUUUUCCUCCCCGGCGUCUUGAAUACAAAGCUUACGGUGCAGAAGGAAAUUGCACUCGCCUCCUCCGCCCCCCGGUACCCGACACAAUGCACCAGCCGCCUGAGUCCACCGCCGCCGCCGCCGCGGCCGCGGCCGCUGCAGACAUUAGUGCUAGGAAGAUGGCGCACCCGGCAAUGUUCCCCAGAAGGGGCAGCGGUAGUGGCAGCGCCUCUGCUCUCAGUGCAGCAGGUACCGGCGUUGCUAGUAGUGCCACAUCUUCCGAGGAUUUUCCGCCUCCGUCGCUGCUCCAGCCGCCGCCUCCUGCAGCAUCUUCUACGUCGGGACCACAGCCUCCGCCUCCACAAAGCCUGAACCUCCUUUCGCAGGCUCAGCUGCAGGCACAGCCUCUUGCGCCAGGCGGAACCCAAAUGAAAAAGAAAAGUGGCUUCCAGAUAACUAGCGUUACCCCGGCUCAGAUCUCCGCCAGCAUCAGCUCUAACAACAGUAUAGCGGAGGACACUGAGAGCUAUGAUGAUCUGGAUGAAUCUCACACGGAAGAUCUGUCUUCUUCCGAGAUCCUUGAUGUGUCACUUUCCAGGGCCACUGACUUGGGGGAGCCUGAACGCAGCUCCUCAGAAGAGACUCUAAAUAACUUCCAGGAAGCUGAGACACCUGGGGCAGUCUCUCCCAACCAGCCCCACCUUCCGCAGCCUCAUUUGCCUCACCUUCCCCAACAGAAUGUUGUGAUCAAUGGGAAUGCUCAUCCACACCACCUCCAUCACCACCAUCACAUUCACCAUGGGCACCACCUACACCAUGGGCACCACCAUCCAUCCCAUGCUGGUGUGGCCAGUACAUCCAUCCCCGGAGGGCCGCCCACAAGCCCAGUAUCCAGAAAACUCUCUGCCACUGGAAGCUCUGACGGUGUUAUACCAGCUGCAGCAACUUUUGCUGUAUCAUCGGGUGGCUCACCUGCAUCUGUCAUGACUAAUAUCCGUGCUCCAAGUACGACCGGCAGUAUAGGUAUAAGUUCCGUUACUGGCACUCACACAGUGCAUAAUGUCAACAUUACUGCUGUGGGUAGUUUUAAUCCUAGUGUGACAGGCAGCAUGCUUAGUAAUGCUCAUAUAAAUGCAAGCAAUAUUCCUAGUGCUGCUAGUGUGAGUGUUGGGCCUGGAGUUAGCAGCGGUGUUAAUGUGACUAUCUUGAGUGGCAUGGGCAAUGGUGCUGUUUCUUCCUCCGCUGGUGUUAACAGUGCCCCUAACGCAGCUGCAGGGAUGACUGUGGGACCAGUUUCAAGUCAGCAGCAGCAACCCACAGUUAACACGUCGAGGUUCAGAGUUGUGAAGUUAGAUUCUAGUUCUGAACCCUUUAAAAAAGGUAGAUGGACUUGCACCGAGUUCUAUGAGAAGGAAAAUGCUGUACCUGCUGCAGAAGCUGUGGCGAUAAAUAAAGUGGUGGAAGGUGUAAAACAAAACCCGGUAGAAGUGACUUCGGAGAGGGAGAGCACUAGCGGGAGCUCGGUGAGCAGCAGUGUCAGCACACUGAGUCACUACACGGAGAGUGUGGGAAGUGGAGAGAUGGGGGCCCCUACUGUGGUGGUGCAGCAGCCGCCGCCGGCUCUUCAGCAGAUGGACUUCGGUGGCCCCGGUGCCGCCGGCAUUUCUCAGUCACAGAUCACGCAAGUACCGUUACAGCCUCAAGAACUGAGCUAUCCUCAACUGCAAGCCCCGCUCAGUGCUGCAGCUGGUAUCCAGCCGUCACCUGUUGGUGUGGUUGGUGUAACUUCAGCUGUAGGUCAGCAGCCUUCCGUUUCCAGUUUGGCUCAGCCCCAGCUGCCAUACUCUCAGACGGCUCCUCCAGUGCAAGCCCCCCUUCCAGGGGCACCAGCCCAACAGUUACAGUAUGGACAGCAGCAGGCGGCUGUCUGUACGCAGACGGUCCCGAGCCAUGGUCAAGCAGUGACUCCGAAUCCCGCUGCAGAGUAUGUACAGCCGCAGCCGGUUCUUCAAACGGCGGUGUCCUCGGGACAGCCCAGUGCUGCAGGAGUGGCAGCAGGGACCACAGUGAUUCCUCCGGCCCAGCCGCAGAGUCUCCAGCUGCCCGUGCAGCCCGCAGCAGUCCAGGCACAACCUGCAGGGGCAUCUGGCCAGCCCGUUGGCCAGGCUCUCACGGCAGGAUCUGUUGCGCCUACUGGCAGUCAAAUUGCAAAUAUCGGUCAACAAGCAAACAUACCUACCGCGGUGCAGCCGCCCUCUACCCAAGUCACACCUUCAGUUACUCAGCAAGGUGCUCCUCCGUCGUCACAGAUAGGUCCACCCGCUCAAACUGCGAUUACUCAUCAGGGAGUUCAGACUAGUGCUUCGAGCCUCCCUCAACAAUUGGUCCUUGCCCCCCAGAGUACCUUGUUACCUGUGCCUCCCCAGCCACAAGGAGUAGAAUCAGUAGCUCAAGUUUCGCAGCAGUUGCCUGCAGUUAGUCCUCUGCCCUCUGCUAGUGGUGUUGCUGUUACCAGUCAGGUUAGUUCAGCGGGCCCUUCUGGAAUGCCUUCUGCCCCCACAAACUUGGUUCCACCACAGAAUAUAGCACAGACCCCUGCCACUCAAAAUGGGAAUUUGGUUCCAAGUGUUAGUCAGCCUCCCUUGAUAGCAACUAAUAUAAAUCUGCCUUUGGCACCACAGAUCCCGCUAGGCUCUACUCAGUUCUCUGCACAGUCCUUAGCUCAGGCGAUUGGAAGCCAAAUUGAAGAUGCCAGGCGCCCAGCGGCACCCUCCUUAGUGGGCUUACCUCAGACUAUGAGCGGUGACAGUGGGGCAAUGUCAGCAGUUUCAGAUGGGAGUAGCAGCAGCCUAGCAGCCUCUGCUUCUCUUUUCCCGUUGAAGGUGCUACCGCUGACGACACCCCUGGUGGAUGGCGAGGAUGAGAGCUCUCUAUUUCAGUGCUUCUCUCCUACCAGAGGUGCAAGGAGUGAUCCUAGAACCACAGAUACAGCCAAGACCACGGAGAGCUUUUGACGUCAGGGGUCCACUUUCUCCACUGAACCCUUGGAGGCAGAAUAUCCAGCUACUGGAGAGAGUGGGAAAGGAUAAUAAACAAGUAUCUUGAUAAUGGGAGACCGGUUUAUUUGUUCUCUAAUUGCCCAGAUUUCUUUCAACUGGUAAACAUCAUACUUCUUCAGCAAAAGGAACUCUUCUAGCAGAGCCUUCAUGGAUGAUCUCUGUCACACAUGCAGCACCUGCAGUUUGGAAGGCAGUGGUGAACGGAGCCACGCACUAUAUCUAGAAGACACAAGGAUGAGAGAGCCACCUGAUCUUGUCAUUUAUAAACUUUAAGAUUUAUUCUGGUGUACUCUUGGUCUGGAAAUGGAAAGGCUCAAAUAAUGAAACAAUUUUUUCAGAUUGGAGUUUUACAUGGCCAUGCAAAUAUUCCUUUCUAUUCAGAAGACUGAAAUAGAGGCAGUAUGAGAGACUCCUUUCUUUUAAAAGCAGCUCUCUGUUUCACUUAAAAGAUUUGUGGGAUUGAAAAUCACCUUAAUGAAGCAGGCAACCCCCCCCCCUUUUUUUUAAGUAUUAUAGGAGAUCCCAAAAACUUCUGGAACUGUUUUUUGUUGCCUGACACUGAAAAGAACUAGUAAAUAAAAAGGUGAAUUUCUUAAUUAUUCCCAAAUUACUUUUAGUAUUAGGAUACAGUCUUUAACUUCUCUUUUUCUGGUCUUGAGCCUUAAUUCUUAUUUGUCAAAUCAACAGAGAUUCCAGUAUGGAGUAGGAGAGACAUCUUUUGAGAUCAAAGUAGCUUGGGCAGUCUUCUAAAAUAGUAAAUACCUGUUAAAUUUGAGGUAUUGUUCUGCAUUAAAGGCAUACUAAAGUUUGAAUGAUACUGAAAUGAGAAAGUAUUUUAUAGAGCAAAGGCAAUAUUAGAAUAAGCCUCUACAUGUGAAGAAGUGUUGCGAAAUAGUUAUCCAAAUGGAAGGAGUUAUCAAAAUGUUUCUAUUUUUCUCUUUGGUAUCUAUUAACUGGUCAGUCAAAAGCUAUUAAAGAAGUUUUUAAAAGUUACCUGAUGCUGCCAGUUUGUUUUAUUUGGUAUACUUUUUAGGAAUAGAAAUUCUAGAGUUAAGCAUCUAAAUGUUUUAGGGAUCUUGAAGGUCUUAGGAACCACAUUUACUAAGUUUAUAACCUGGCCUUUAGUCUUUCUUUCCAUGAGACCUGUUUUUUUUUUUUUCUCACUAAUUAUAAAUUUUUGUAUAGUACUUAAAAGUUUAAAAGAUCAAUUUGAACUAAAAUUUCUGUAGGGAGCUCUGAAUUCCCAUGAAUGAUUACAGCUUUUUAUGCUUGAUUUAUUGUUGUUAAAUAUGAAUAAGACCGUCUUUACAAACACAUAAAUUAAAAAAUACCCACCAUUUUAGAACUCAGGGGAAAUGAAAGUGAAAUUUGCUUGGAAAUUAAGUUGAACUCUUUGAACCAUAGUACCAACCAGUUUAUGGCCUGUGCGAUUAUUAGCCUUUUGUUUCAGCUUUAAAGAUGAAAAGUGAUUUAAUCUCUUAACUUCAUGCUUUGAUUAAAUUUUAGCUCUGUUCCUUAAAGUGUGCAAAAGAAAUGUAAGUGCAUUUCCAUUCACCUCAUGCCACUAAAAGCUAUUUUAAAGUGAAACUUUUUGUAUAUUAAUGUGAACUGAUUUGUUUAUUUAAACUUUUAUUUUGAUACAUUUUCCUUUCAGAUUUUUUUAUAUUUCGUGUCACUAUGCAAUCCUAUAUUUUUCAGUGUUUAUUUUAUGAUUAUUAGUAUAAGCUAAUUUUUUUCCUAGAAUGACUAAUUGUGUAAUAUUUGUAUUAUGUGAUCAUUUGAAAACUAAUAAAUAUUUUCUCCAUGAAAAAAAUGCACUUACUGAUAAAUGGCUUAUUUUUGUUUCAGGAGUAGACAAUGAAAACAACAGUAUUUUUAAGUGUAUUUUAAUUUUAUGUGUCUUCCUCUAAGUAUUUCUGAAUAUAUAUCCUAUUCUUGUGUAAAUCUUUUUUGAAAAAAAUUUUCCAAAAACUAUUAAAUUAAAAUGAUUCUUCAUUGGGUCAUCCAGUGCCAAAUGUAUGAAAUAGGUGAUCUAUUUAGUCUUUUUUUUUUCCGUUUUCCUGAUUAGCUUCAUCUUUGUUUCCAGAAGUGGGUUUUUGUUUUUUUUUUUUCUUUAGAUGCUGUUUUGGUGUGUCCAUUUUGCAAACCAUUAAAACUCUUGAAAUAUUGUAAAUAUCAGGAAUAACAUGGUCAAAUCUUUUAAAGUGAGACUGAUCAAAAUAUAACCCCUUACAAAAUAGCAUAUAAAAGACAAAUCCUUGACCCAGAAAAAGAACAUCUGGAAAUAUUGGCUGAUUGGAGAACUACCCAAUUCACAAGAGCUGUUAACAGGAGAAGAAAGACGUUUUAUAUUUAAUGUUCUGUUUGAACAGAUAAUCGUAGAAGGAGAAAUCUUGAGAGUCUCUUGCUUUUAACCUUAUCAAGACAACAUGGAAAAGGAUAAAACUUGGUUUUUAUGAUUCUUUAUAGUUACAUAAACUUUAAAACUGAAGCCACUGGAACAAUUUACCUUUUCUAUGCAGAGUCUGCUAGAAGCAAGAGGGGUUUCUCUUUGAUUUGAAGAAAACAUAUAUAAGAAGUGGACUCCAAAGAUUAAAAACAUGGUGAUGGGGUCCUAGACAAGAAAUAAAAGUUGAAUUAAUGACAACUUGUGGAUUAAAAUGAAACCGUUUGGCUCCCCAAAGAAAUUAUACUCUGAAAAAAUAAAAAAGGAAAUUAUGAUUUAGAAUAGUUACUGUGUUUGGGGGGUAGAAGGAAGCUAAAAUCCUUGGCUUAAUUACUCUGGUAAGUUUGGAAAAGGAGUUAAGAUUCUGUGGAUAAAAUUUUGUUUUUAGAAUUAAAGCCAUUAAAAGAUUCACAGACAUAUUUCAAUAGAAGGCUGUAUUUUUUACUUGAAUACAAAAAAUUUAUAAGCCUUAACUAUAUAUGCAAAAGAGUGGGUUGUGUGAGGGGUUAAAUAAAAAUUCUGUACCAGAAACUUCAGACAUACUGUAAAAAUAAUGGUGAAAUGAGAGUUUUAAAUACUUUAAUUUUUAUCACGUGGACUCUUCCCUACACUGUGUUCAAAAUAAAAACAUGAGAGAAUGUUAAACAUGGCUUACCUUUAUAUCUUUGAGGUAUAAGAACAUAGGCUUAUUGUUUCACCAUCAUUCAUUGGAUUAACUAUAAUAAUAAAAUUUUGUUUUUGUUCUUUAGUGAGGAGACAAAAUAGCUUUUGUUUAAAAAAAGUAAAUGUCACAUAAGCAGUGUGUCUGACAAAGUACUGACCUUACAGUUUGUUGUUUACGAGCUCAGAUCUUAUUCUUACUUUACUUUGCUAUAUUGAAACAAUUGAGCAAAAUGUCCUAAGCAAUUGCUUGCUUUUUAUUCGGGUAUUUUUAUUUGCCAUUAAGAAGAUUGCCUAAAAUGUGAAAGAUUUUUGUUUUCAAAAAUAAGCACAUAGGUGCUCUAAAAUUCUUUUCCACUAGUAUCCUCUAAGGUAAUUAGAUUACUGCAGUAAAAAUGUUAGGGAACUUCAAAGUAUGCUUCGGAGUUUUCAGGAAUUAUGAUCAAAGGGAUCUCUACUCAAGAGGUAAGGUAUGGCAUAGGUAGAAAAAUGUUAAAUGUGUUCAGUGUAAUGUCUGAUGGUAAAGUCAACUUACAACAGAUAUCCUUGGAUUUUCAGACAGGUGUAGAAUUAGGAAAAUAAUUUUUCUUAAAAAUCUCUCCCAGAAAAAAGGAUGAACCACAGAUGUGUUUUUGUAGUACUUUGGAGUGCAUUUAGAUACAUACAUCCACAGACAUUGUACCUUUGGUGUACUUAGCCUCCUAUAUUUCAGGGCAUCUUUUACCUGUGCUCUUAGUGUUUAUCAUCCAUUUUUAAUUUAGUAUUUCUUAAGCUCUGAGCACUAUUAAAAUAUUAUACUUUGUAUGGAAAGUUGAGUACAUAUUCCAUGAGAUUAUUGCCUGGCUUCAUUUUGCCUGUUUUACUUACAUGAUAUCUAGAACCUAGAAAACAGUUGUACUGAAUAAUUUUUAUCUUGGUUUGAGAAAUUAAUUUGAGUUUUAAAAGCAUUCAUUUAUGCUGUAACUUAGGGGAAUUUGUUAUAUAAGGCUUAAAAAAUAAUGUUGGGUAGUAUAUAAAAUCAUUUAGAGAAAAAAGUUAUGCUGUUAUUCUCUGAGGAAUAUUAAGUAGGUUCACAGAGUGGAGUGUUAGCAUAUACUAUUUAGUAUAUCUAGAAUCAAAGGAAAAUGCGAUAUUCAAUACAAAUGAUUUAGAAAAAUGAUUUAGGUUUUUUUUUUCCCCCUAGAAAUAUUAGUAUGGUUUAUUCAAUAGAUGGUAACAUAGAAACCACAAUAAUCUUCCAUCCUAUCUUUUAAUUCUUAUUAUAAGAACACUAGCUUGUGGACAUUUGGUGUUUAAUUAAAAUAGUUGGCUGUGUCUGUUCUACUUUCACCUUUAUGGUGGAGCAAAUGAUAAUGAUGAUAUGUGAACUAGAGCGAGAACUCGCUACUUGAUGAGAUAGAUGAUUUCAUGUCCAGGAUGCCCUCAUGGUGAGAAGUGGAUCCAGGAUUUGCUUCCAUGUCAUAUUUUAUUUGAAAAUUACCAUAGGCAUUAUCUAGUUGAGCACCCUCAUUUUAUAUACAAAGGAAUGAAUAUCCAGGAAUAUCUCCUGUAUUUCUGAUACCACACAGUGGAUCCACAAUUGUAGGACCCAACUCUCUUGACUGCAAGCUCAGAGAUCUGUACUCUGCUGCCUCCUCAUGUUGUUCCUAGUUCUGGAGGACAUAAAGCAAGUCUGAUUUCCUUCAACUCUGACGGCCUCCAGAUGUUUUAAGAUGGCUGUAAUACUGUAUUAAUUUCAAGCCCGUUCUGUUGUUGCUUUUAUUUUUAAAUAGAUUAAGCACCUCCAUCAUACUGCCCUUAUUCAUGCAACAUAGUUUUGGAAUCCUUAAAGGUUUUUUUAGAUCUUCCCUGAACAUGCUUCGGUUCAUCGUUGUUCUUAAUGUGUGACAGCUCAGUACAGGUUUGUUCAGCCUCUUCGGCCCUAGAGUCCUCAUGUCACUUUGUUUAUCCGUACAGAUACAGCAAAGUGUUUGAUUUUAUGCACAGAAUGUUCCAUAGUGAUCUGCAGAAUAAUUUGCACCUAAAAAUUAGUCUAGUAGUCUUUAUGUACAGGCAAAUGUGUACAGUUCAGGGGGAAAGAGAAAACAUCUAAUACCUAAGACCUUGAGAAGUCAUAAUUUAAGAAGUACGGUCUUCCAUUUUUUUGCUUGCUUAGUUCUGACUCAGAUUACUAUCCAUUCCAUUUUAAAUGACUUGUAUAAUGUGAAAUGUUAUUUUUCAGGUUGUCCUUGCUAAUUUAAGGGUAACCAGGCCCGUUGGAGCUAAACUGUUGACAUGUGACUGAUAAUGAGAAGAAAAUCAACUUGUGUUUAGUAACAUAAUUAGAAACAAAAAGCUGCUUCAGUGGAAAGGUUUGGGAUCUAUCCCAAACAGCAGAAGAUGGUGAAGUAGCCGCCCUGGAAAUCUGAGAAUGUGGCCUUAGUUCUAAUGAAGGCAUAGUCUUAUGUUGCCUCUUGAAAUAUAGUGUGGAUACUCUGCUAGAGCAAUGUUUUAGCAUAACAGCAUUUUAAACUACCAAUUAAAUAUUUAGCUUUUUCUCACUUAAAAUUUUAAGUUGAGCUCCUGUAAGGCACAAGGUAUUGUUUAAUGGUUACAUGUACCUUGCAGGGUAUACGUUUACCUUUGAGAAAUACUCGUUUGAAAUUGGGUGUAUUAUCCUACCUGAGUUAGAAUUCUGGGGCAAAUGAGGGAGAAAAGAACACACCCAUGCCUGCUCUGUGCAGCUUUGGCCAGCUGGCCUUAAUUUAAUCCAACUGACCUGUGAGAAAGGUGAUUAUUUUUUUUUUUUCGGUUUAUGCACAAAGAUGCUGAAGCCCAGAGGCUUCAAAAUCUGCUGGAGGGCACAUAAUCAGUAAGCAACAGAGAUGGCAUUUGAAAGAUCUGUCAAAAUAGAAAUAAUUCUGUUGCACCAUUGAUUGCCAAACAUCUUUACCAGAAAGAAUGCAUAUUCUCAGGAACAUUUUUUUAUAGAACAUCAGUGUUUAAAGUAGAUAAAAGGGAUAUUUUACUUAGUAUGCAUUUUUAAAUCGACUCUUUUUUAAAAAGUAAUUUUAGUUUUACAGGAAAAUUGACAAGAAAGUACAGAGACCUCACACCCCACCAACCAUAUACCCAGUUUUCCCUCCCAUAGUUUUCCUUAUUAACCUCUUGCUUCUGUGUGGCACAUUUGUUGCAAUUAAUGAACUAAUAUUGAUAGACAUCAUUAGGGUUUACUCUUGUAUCAUACAGUUCUUUGGAUUUUGCUAAAUAUUUUUGUAUCAAUGUUAAUGAGAGAUACUGAUCUAUAAUUUUCCUUUCUUGUAAUGGCUUUGUCUGAUUUUGAUACUAGAUUUGCCUCAGAAUGAAUGAGGAAUUGUUCCCUUUGUUCCUACUUUCUGAAAGAGAUUGCAGAAAGUUGGUAUCAUUUUGUUAAAUAUUUGGUAGAAUUCAUCAGCGAAGCCAUCUGGGCUUGGUGUUUUCUCUUUGUGAAAGUUAUUAAUUAUUGAUUCAGUUUCUUUAAUACAGAUAACCUUAUUCAGUUUGUUUCUUCUUGAGUAAGUUUUGGCAGAUUGUAUCUUUUAGGGAAUUGGUUCAUUUCAUCUAAGUUUUCAAAUUUGUGGUGAGAGAGUUGUUAAUAAUACUCCUUAAUAGCCUUUUAAUGUCCAAGGGACUGGCUGUAAUGACCCCUCUUUCAUUUGUAAUAUUAAUUGUCCCUUCUUUCCUUUUCAUUGUUAGCCUGGCCAGAGGUUUAUCAAUUUUAUUGAUAAAAUAGCCAGAUUUUGGUUUUGUUUUUUCUCUAUUUUACAGUUUUCAGUUUCAUUGAUUUCUGCUCUAAUUUUUAUUCUAUUUGCCUUAGGUUUAUAUUGGUCUUCUUUCUAAGCAUUUUUUGUACUAUCCCAGUAUUUUGAUAAGUUGUAUUUUCAUCUUGUAGUUUGAAAUAUCUUAAAAUUUCUCUUGAGAAUUUUUUUUUUUUUUACACCAAUGUGUUAUUUGGAAGUAAGUUUUUAAAUCUCCAAGUAUUUUGGGAUGUCCAUCUACCUGUAAAUACUUGUUAUUCGUCACUGACUUUAAUUCUGCUGUGGUUUGAGAACAUACUUAGUGUUAUUUCUAUUCUUUUAAAUUUUUUAUGAUGUGUUUUAUGGCCCUUAAUCAUGGUGAGUGUUUUCGUGUGAGCUUAAGAAGGCAUAUUUUGUUGUUGGAUGAAGUAUUCUUUAGGUGUCACUUAGGUCCAGUUGAUUGGUGCUGUUCAGUUCAACUGUGUCUUUAUUGAUAUUCUGCUUGCUGGAUCUGUCAAUUACUGAUAGGGAUAGAACAGUGUUGAAGUCGUCUUUAAGUAUAAUAGUAGAUUGAUUAAUCAGUUUCUUAUUUUAGUUCUGUCAGUUUUUGCCUCAUAUAUUUUGAUGUGCUAUUGUUAGGCCAGGGUGUAUUAAUAAGGCUUGUUAUGUCUUCACGGAGAAUUGAUCCUUUCAUUACAUAAUGACUCUCUUUAUCCUUGGUAACUUUUUCUUGUUCUGAAGUUUGCACUUCCUGAAAUUAAGCUAUUCUAGUUUUAUUUUGAUUAGUGUUAUCAUGGUGUAAUUUCUUUAUCCUUUUACUUUUAAUCUACAUAUAUCUAUAUAUUUGAAGUGGGUCUUGUUUUUUUAUCCACUUAGUAGUCUUUGUCUUUUAAUUGAUUUAUUUCAGCUAUUUACAUUUAAAGCAAUUAUUGAUAGAGUUGGAUUAAUGUGUUGUUUGUAACUUUUCAUUGCCUUUGUUCUUUUAAAAUUUAUUUUGCCUUCCCCUUCUUUAUUUUUUCUGAUCUUGAGUAUUGAAUAUAAUUCUAUUUUCUCUCUUACCAUACUUCUAAAAUUUUUUUUAAUUAUUGCCUCAGAGUUUGCUGUAUACAUUUAUAAAUAAUCUGUCUUCAAAUAAUACAUACCACUUCAGGGGUAGUGCAGGUACCUUAUAAUAGAAUCUUUCUGCUUUUUCUCUCCCAUGCCUUAUAACAUUGCUGUCCUUUAUUUCACUUUUCCAUAAGCUAUAAUCAACCAAAAUAUUGUUGCUUUCAUUUUGAACAAACUGUGUUAAUAUCAAUUUAGAGUUUUAAAAAGAAAAGAUUUUGUUUUGCCUUUUGAAACUACUUCUCUGAUGCUCUUUCAAAAGGAAAUUGUGUAGACCCGUGACCUAUACAAUCUUUCUUUUCUUUGGAGAACUUAUUUUAGCAUUUCUUUCAAGGCAGGUCUACUGGUAACAAAGUCCGUCCAUUUUUAUGUGAGAAAAUGUCUUUCUCUUCUUUAAUUUUGAAGGAUACCUUUGCUGUAUACAGAAUUCUAGAUUGGUAGGUUUUUUUUUCUUUCAACACUUUAUUCAUUCUGUCUUCUUGUUUGUAUGAUUUUUGAAGAAAUAUCUGAUGUAAUUCUUAUGCUUAUCCUCUAUAGGUCAGGUUUCUUCUCCCCUACUCCUACCUCUGGCUUCUUUCAAGAUUUUUCCUUUGUCUUUGAUUUUCUACAGUGUGAAUGUCAUAUGCCUAAGUGUGGAUAUUUUGGAUUUAUCCUGUGUCAUAUUCUCUGAGCUUCCUGGAUCUGUGCUCUAGGGUCUGUUAUAAAUUUUGGAAAAUUCUCAACCAUUAUUUUUUCAAGUAUUUCUUUAGUUCCUUUCUCUUCUCCUCCUGGUGUUCCCAUUGUGCAUAUGUUACCUCUUUUUAAAUUGUCCCAUAGUUUUUGGAUGUUCCUUUUUUCCCCUCUUUUUUCAGUUUAGAAAGUUUCUCUUGACAUGUCUUUUAGCUGUAGUGCAUUCUUCAUUUCUGACUUUGAUUUUGAGUCCUAACAUUUCUUUUUGAUUCUUUCUUAGAGUUAUAUUACCCAUUCGUUUUUGCAUGUUAUCCCCUUUUUCCAUUAGAGCUUUUAGUGUUUUCGUAGUUACUUGAAAUUAUUGGUCUAGUAGUUCAAACAUAUCUGCCAUAUCUGAAUCUGGUUUUGUUGCUUGUUUUGUGUAUUCAGAUUUUGUGUGUAUUUUUUUUUUUAAUCUUUUAGGGUACCUUAUCAUUUUUUGUUAAAUGCCAGACAUGCUGUAUUGGUAAAGGAACUUGGGCAAAUAGGUCUGUAGUGAGGUUUUAUGUUGAUCUGGUUAGGUGUUAGUCUGUUUACUAUUUGUUCUACCUGUAUGUGUCAGAGGCUGAAAUUACCUCUAAUGUGCUUUUUUUUGGACCAAUCUGUAUUCUUGGGAUUCCUUAGAGACUUCUUUAUAAAUAGAAUCUUAGUUUUGCCAUUCUUUCAGUAAUUCCCUGUUGAUGUUAGUGGGUAAGGUGUGGGGUUAGGGGAAGUGCUUUGUGGUCCUAUCAUUAGGUCUCAGUUUUUUAGUGGACUCUGCUGUUGGCUUUCACCUUCACAAGUGCCCCCCUUUCCCCAUAUGAGACAUGAAGGGUAGAAAGGGCCUGAUUUGAAUACUUCCCUUUCUCCAUUUUGUUAGGCUUUGGUAAAAUAAUAUUCCUUGUGGGCAGCCCUUUGUUAAGGAGAAUGAUAUGCUCUGGGUAUAUUUCAAAAUGGUUACUUUUCCUUCUCCUGCUUCCAGAAGUAGAGGAGAUUUUUCUCUGUUCUUUACCCUGCAAACCUGAUGGGGCUUCUGGAGAUAAAAUUCAUGGAAAUGUAAGAGGCCCCAUAAGGUUGAUUUCCUAGGAGUUUUUAAUCUCUCAAGCGUAUGUGCUCUCUGUCUAGCAGUUAGUUUCUUUUACGUUUUUCUACCCAGGUGGCUCCAGUGGUGGUUUCUCCUAGUAAGCUGCUGAUAUUUGUAUUUGCCUGGUUCUUCAGUUUUGGAGCUGCAGGUUGGUCCUGUAACCUUGGUUCUCUGAUGGAUCCAAGAGGAGGUGUUGAUUUUCAGUUUAGUUUUUUUCUUGUUGUGUGCUCAGAAGUGACAACUUUUACUUGUUGGACUGGAAACUGGAAGUCACUGAGCAUUUUUAAAUAUUCGAAUUUGCCUUCAAUUUGGUUUGUGUCCUUACACAAGUAAUGGAGAUUUCUAAGCCAUUAUAGUUAUUUAAUUUGGUUCAUUUAAUCCUAUUGAUCAUCCACCUACUAAAUUGCAUACAUCUCCUAAACAUUGGUGAUAAUUAAGAUGCUUCUGCCCUUGUACACCUCUUUUCAAAGUCUUUUGCUCUUUUUGUUGUCCUCUAGAUCCUGGAUGUAUCUCUUGUAUCUUGUCAAGGACUUUGUGGCUUUAGUACUUUCUCUUUUUAUGAGAAAAUCUCCCUCUCUAUUGAAUCCUUAAUGUAUCUGGUUAUGUAGUCCUAUAUUAAGAAAAGGAACUUUGAUUCUUUCCCCACCCUCUAACUUCUGCAGUCUCUGUUCACUCUUACUGUCUACUCAUAACGUUACAGUUUCUCAAAUUUUAUUUACUUUUCAAUCUAUUCCAAUCUGGCUUUUGCAUCUGAUACCACUAGGACUGCUCUUGUCAAAGUCACCCAGGUCCUCGCUGUUGCCAAAUCCACUGGACACUUACCUGUGCCUUUUUAUUUGAUCUUUUAACAGAAUUCAGUGUAGUUGAACACUUCUACCUUCUGAAAUGCCCUUUUCUUGACUUCCAUAACAGCAUAUGCUUUUGGUUUUCCUCCGUGCCUUUACUUUAUAGUUGCUGUUGCUGGUCUUAACUCUUUCAUCCAACUAUGGAAAGUAGUUCAGUGCUCAGCCCUUGAGCUUUUCCUUUAACCUCUUCUCCCUUUACACUUAGAUUAUUUAUUUAUUUAUUUAAGUAAUCUCUACACCCAACAUGGGGCUUGAACUCAACCCCAAGAUGAAGAGUUUCAUGCUCUUCUGACUGAGCCAGCAAGGCGCCUCUACACUUAGAUGAUCUUAUCCCUUAUCAUGGCUUAAUACUUCUGUUAACUCUGCCCCAGUUUUUAUCUCCCUCUGUCCCCAGCCCUUCCUCAAAGCUCCAGUCUUGAUAUUCACUUGGAUAAUUAAAAAAAGUAAAAUGUUCAAUCCUGAACUAUUUUUAUUUUUCUCUUAGUCUUCCAUAUCUCAAUGGAGCACCACUGUUGAUCUCAUUAUGUGAAAAACCAUGGAGCGAUCUCUUCCUCAUCUCCCAUAUACAGUAUCUUCAUUAUUCAUUAGUUCAAUUGUUUGCUUUUGGACUUUUAAAACAUUAUUUAUAGCAGUUUUUUAAAUUUAUUUUUUAUUUUAAGUAAAUGCUUUGCUGCACGUGGGGCUCAAACUCACAACCCUGCAAUCAAGAGUCACAUGCUCUACUGGCGGAGCUAGCCAAGCGCCCCUAUUUUUUUUUUUUUUUAAAGAUUUUAUUUAUUUAUUUGAGAGAGAGAGUGAGAGAGAGAGCACAUGAGAGGGGGGGAGAGUCAGAGGGAGAAGCAGAUUCCCUGCCGAGCAGGGAGCCCGAUGCGGGACUCGAUCCUGGGACUCCAGGAUCAUGACCUGAGCUGAAGGCAGUCGCCCAACCAACUGAGCCACCCAGGCCCCCUAAGCGCCCCUAUUUAUAGCAGUUUUAAGUUUAUAGAAAAAUUGACCAAAUGGUACAGAAUUUCUAUCUUGAUUCCCCCUUCCUCUUUUCCGACUGGUUCUUCAGUUUUGGAGCUGGAGGUGCCAACAUCUUGGCAUUUAUUUUGUACAUUUGUUGCAGCAGAACCAGUUUUGAUACAGUAAGGUCCACAAUUUACAUUAGGAUUCACUUACUGCAUCAUACCAUUCUUUGGGUUUUGCUAAAUGCAUAAUGUCCCAUAUCCACUCUUAGGGUAUCUUACAGAAGAGUUUCACUGUCCUUAAAAAUCCUUUUUGCUCCACCCUUUCAUCCUUCACUAUUCCAAUCCCUGGCAAUUACUGAUCUUUUCCUGUGUUGUUAGUUUUGCCUUCUCCAAAAUGUCAUGUAUUUGGAAUCGUACAGUAUGUAGUCUUUUACAGUGGCUUCUUUCAUGUUGCAAUAUGCAGUUAAUGUUCCUCCUUGUCUUUUUGUGACUCCAUAGCAUAUUUCUUUUUAUCACUGUCUAGAUCUACCACAGUUUAUUCACCUAUUGAAGUACAUCUUAGUUGCUUCCAAUUUUUGGCACUUAGGGAUAAAGUGCUGUAAACAUUCAUGUGCAAAGUUUUUUGUGGACAUAUAUUUUCAGCUCAUUUGGAAAAAUAUCUAGUAGUGUGAUUGUUGAAUCUUAUGGUAAGCCUAUGCUUAGCUUUGUGAGAAACCACCAAACUGUCUUCCACAGUGGCUGAACCAUUUUGCAUUCUCACCAGCAGUAAAUGAGAGUUCCUGUUGCUCCACAUCCUCACUGGUGUUUUGUGUUGGUGUUUUGGAUUGUAGCUACUCUAAUAGGUGCGUGGUGGUAUUGCUGUUUUAACUUGCAGUUCCCUGGUACUAUGACAUCCUUUCAUAAGCUUCUUGUCCAUUUGUGUAUCAUCUUUGGCAAGGUACCUGUUUAGAUCUUUUGCCCAUUUAAAAAAAUCAGUUUUUGUUAUUACUGUGUUCUAAGAAUCCUUUAUGUAUUUUAGAUACCAGUCCUUGACCAGGUAAGUGUUUUGCACAUAUCUUCUCCUAGUCUGUGGCUUGUCUUCAGUCUCUUAACAGUGUCACUUGCAAAGCAGCAGUUUUAAAUUUUAAUGAAAUCUACUUCAUCAAUUUUUUCUUUGGUGGAUCAUGCUUUUGGUGCUGUAUCUAAAAACUUACUGCCAAAUCCAUGGUUGCCUAGAUCUUCUGUGUUGUCUUGUGGAGGUUUUACAGUUUUGAGUUUUAUAUUUAGAUCCAUGAUCAGUUUUGAGUUAACUUUUUUGAAUAAACAUUUUUUUUUUUUUGCAUGGGAUGUCUGGUUGUUUUAAUACCAUUUUUUAAAAAAGGCUGUCUUUUCUCCUUUGAAUUGCUUUUGCUCCUUUUUCAUAGCUCAGACUUACCUCCUAAGUCUUUCUCAAACUUGUCCACAUCUUACCAUUUUCAUCUAUUAACCUCCCCUCCAAGCUGCCAUCCCCUCUUGCCUGAACAGUAGCACUUACUGGUCUUCUCACUUUAUCUCUUGACCCCUGCAUUCUUCACAGAAUAUGACUUACUACAAUUUUUUUUUAAGAUUUAUUUAUUUGACACAUAGAGAGCACAAGCAGGGGGGAGGGGAGAGGGGGAGGGAGAAGCAGGCUCCCAACAGAGCAAGAAGCCAGAUGCGGGGCUCCAUCCCAGGACCCUGAGAUCAUGACAUGAGUCAAAGGCAGACGCUUAACUGACUGAGCCACCCAGGUGCCCCUGACUUAUUACAAUUUUAAGGCAUAAAUAAGAUCAUGUCUGUUUUCUGCUUAAUGCUACUUGCUUCCUUUUAUAAAAACAAUAAAAUCCAAAUUCUUUAUCAUGGCCUAUUAGGCCUUAAAUGAUCUUGCCCUGACUUUUCCUCAGUUUUACCCUUGCUUCUACUCUCCAGACAACCUUGGGCUUCUUUAGUCUCUGAAUUAUUUAAAUUAUUUUUUCCCUACCUUAGGGGAUUCAUAAUCAUGGAAUGCCUCUUUUCCUGCUUUUAGGUCUGAGCUUAGAUGUUUUCAGCAGUGCCUUCUCUAGUUAGUAUAUUGUAAUCAUCCAGUUCUAGAUCUUGCCUUUCAUUCUCUGUUCUGAUUUCUUCCUAGUAUUUUUGUCAACUUAAAAGCAUAUAUUGUUCAUUGCCUGUCUCCCUGCCACCAGAGAUCACGGUUGUCUUAUUUAUAUUGUUUUUAGCACCUGGCACAAUAGUUGCCUCAUAGUAAGCACUGAACAUGUAUUUUAAUGGAGGAGACAUGGGCCCGGCCUUUGAAAUGCCCAGAUCUAGCGAGGGAGAUCCACACAGACGCAGAUGAAUUGCAGCGCCACGGUAGUGCUAUCGGAGUUGUAGGCCCAGAAAAUAAGAGAUGAAAGGUUAAAAAAGAAAUCUCUGAAAUUCUCACUAGUGUCAACUAGUGAUUACAACAGUCAGCUUAUGAAGUCUUAUUGCCGAGGCUUCUUAGCCAUUAAUUUAUAUAUUAUUUGCUAAUGUGGGAGUCAGUAUAACUCUCGUCCUAGCAAUUCCAGACUUAGGAUCUUCAGUGUCGGGAGAACCCAUCAUGCUGUAGGGACAGUGUCUGUGCAAAGGCGUGGUCUCCAGCCCAACAAGAGGCCCGACAGCAUACUGACUCUAGAGUCAGGGCUUGCUUUUGAAUACCCAGUGCUGCCGGUUACCUGGGGCAGAUCACUUCACUUCCCUGGGCCUUAGUUUCCCCAUCUGUGAAGGAGCUAACAAACUUAGAACGUUGUUUUGAGGAUAAAAUGGGCGAAUAUAUAUAUAGCACCUUUACUAUGUGCCCUGUCCUGCAAUAAAGGAAAGUGUUUCCGUUAUCCUAUAAAGGCCUCAUUUAAGUAAAGUUUUAUUACUUUAGGAUAUACUUACACUGAGUAACAUGCAGCUCUCUCCACAGGCCCCUCACUUCCUACUUUACAGAGAAAAGACUUCAUUCUCCCGAUGGCAGACCUAAGUCGUGCCUUUGUAGCACUCCUUUCUUCUCUCCUGUGCACGCCAUCAUAUCACCUCUGCUUUCUUAUUUGUCCUAACAUUUUAUUAUCCCUCCUUUCUUUUCAUCUUUACCUUCUUCUUUCACCUAAUUCCUUCUCUAUAAACAUGUUAAAGUCUCUCCAAUUAAAAAAAAGGUAACUGUCGCUACUGCCUUCUCCCUCAUCUCCGUACCCAAACUCAAACACAAACUUACAACAUUCUCUCCAUUUAUUGCUUCCAGCACCGCUCCCUCCACGGCCCACUCUGGUUUUGUUUCUACGUCUUAAUAAGGUCAUCGAAAUAAUACUGUUGAGGUUAUCAGUGACCUCGUCACCGAAUCAGAUGGACAGUGCUCUUUCAGCCGCAUUCAACACGAUUGAUGUCGUUCUCUUCACAUUUUUGGUUCCGUGGGUCUUUACUUCUGAUUUCCUUGUAGCUUUUCGGUGGUUCUUAGUCUCAUUUGCAGACUCUUCUCAUUCUACCGAGGUUUUAUUUCAUAUGUUGGGAUUUCUAAGGUUGAAUCCUUGGUCAUGAUGUCAGUUCAUUGUGCAUCUGGGUCCAUAGUGCAGAUUCGUACCUUUGUAAUGAGGAUUCAAGUUUAAUAACAUGGGUCCAACUUGGCAUCUCUUACGUGCGCUCCAAGAGCGCUUGAAACAUAUUUUAUGAAUUUAUGAUCUCCCCCCCACCCUUAAAUCUGGGCUUCCUUUACCAUUCCUCAUUUUAGUGAAUAUUACCCCAGUCCAUCAUCCAGUCUUGUUUAUUUUUGUGUCUAAAAUAUCUCAACAACUUGUUUCUCUGUUUUCACUACCCCGGCUCAGUCCACUAUUUCCUGACUUGAGCUAUGACAAUUCUAAUUGGUUUCCUUGUAUAGACCCUGGUGUGCUAAUCGAAUUCAGUCUCCACAAUGCAGCCAGAGUGAUGUUUCUCAAGACACAAAUUUAAUGAUAUUCCUUUAAUUAAAACACUCAGUUGGCUUCCUAUUGCUCUUAAGAUCCACAGGAAGGAUUGAGACAAAAAUCCUUAAUACUACAAUUUAUGAAACCCCGAAAGACCAAGUCCCUAUUUUUCUCUCCAUUUGCACCUUUGGCCCAAUGGUGUUUUUCUUCUCUCUCAUCCUUCAUGGUCUCAGCUCAGUGGUCAUUUCCUUACUUCAGGAACACCUCCUCUGAUGUUCUUCAGUAGGUUAGAUCAGCAUCCUUUUGCUCUCACAGUGCCAUGAAUAUGCUAUCUCAUUGCCUAUAGUCAUGGUUUUACAUUUGUGUGUGCCAUUUCUCCCUCUGCCUAAAAGGCCCCGAGAGGCCAAGGAUCAUGUUUACUUUUAUCAUUUGCCAGUGCUUAGCACAGUAACUGGCUUAUAUCCAUCAUUUCAGUGAUUCUUACGAUGACGAUUUUAUUUUUCUUUUACUAAGGAAUAAAAAAGUAAAUAAGCCAGUGCAAAAGAAGCUCGCAAUAUUGAAAGAAUUUUCUAUAAAAGCUGAAUUAGCUUGAACUCUGUAACAUUUUCUCCCAGCCCCCUGCCUUUCUAUGAUUGUAAAAGAAAUGUUAUUUAAGAAAAAAAUUCUGGAGUCUAUUUCUAGAUCCUGAUACUUUGUGAAAAUAAUUGACACUCAAUAAUGGUUCCACUAUUCAGGCCUUCCAAAACAGAAACAUUAGAUUUGUUUCUAACUUUGCAGAUAAAUAUUCAAGUUAGUUUUGAUUUGGCUUUUAAGUGUAGGUUUGAUGACUUUCUGAACUCUCAAGUGAUUCUGACUUGUGAUCGUAUCUGGGAAGGGAUACUUAGUGAUAAUUUUAGUUUAAGAACACAAGAAUUUUUAAAUUUAGGGUGAGGUGUAGUGAAUCAUUGCUUGUUUGCUUGUCUAGCUCUUCAUUAAUUUAUCCUUUCUUUUUUUCUCAUGCUUUUGUUUUUUAUAGGAAGAUUACCCACUGUCAGCAUUUCUGUUUUCAUUCCUCACUUCAGGACAUUCUCUGCACCAUUCCUAUAGGGGGUUGAAAAGGUCAUUUCCAUAACAGGUUAAAUUUUUGCCUUGACUCAGUUUAUUUUUCAUUUUAGAGAAGUUUAGCAUGAAAAGGCUCAGUUUGCCAUUUAACGCUGGAUGUUUCUCAAAGGAAAGUUUCAAAAAUGUAUCAAAAAAACCUUUGUAAUUUUAGGGCCUGUUUUGCUAGGUUCUGAAUAAUAAACACUCCUGGCAGCCUGGCAUUUGGUAGUUGGAAUAAACUAAUCACUUCAGCCUUUUGCAAUCACUUAAAAUACUCAUUAACUGUGAGUCAUUGUUUUGAAAUAAUGUACAUUGUAGCUCUUUUUGUUUUUCUUGCCUGAAUUGCGUGACAUUCCUGAGAACAGCUUUGUGGCACCUCUGAGCUUAGUGUACAUUUUUAUUCUCAAAAUUGGGUGUUCCAAAGUAUAUUGCUGGACAACAAACUAUCCCCAUCCAGUCAGAUUGGUAGGACAUGUCCUUUUGUAGGGCUCAAGAGUCCACUGAGGCAUAGCACUUCUUGCUGAGGUACUGAUGAGAAGUUUAUUAUAAUAAUUUAUUUGGAGAAAAUGUAUAUGUUGUUUGAAUUAACAGGGAACUAAUUAUCUCUGGCAUCUUAAAAACAUAUAAACAUGUUCCUUUGCUAAAUGAUAGAACUGCAUUUAUUUUCCUAAUUAAAUUUGUAGUAGUCCUUUGAAAGCAGGUAAGAACCUUCAUAUUUAUUGAACAGUUAGAAGUCAGUUACUAUUAUCACACGGACUAAAAUAUGUCUGUAUAAAAGGGCUUAUUAAAUACUUCCUAAAAUUUGUAAAGUUUUAAUUAUGAAGACUCAGUAAUUUUUUCCCAAGUUAAUUUUUAUUCAAACGUUUUAAGUAUGUAGUCUUUUUUUUUUUCCCCAGGUUGGUGGCAUUCUUUAUGUUUUCUAACAAGACUUUUCUUGACGGAAAAUGUGACUUAAUAAUCAUGAACUCUUACGUUUUUCAGUGUUGUAUUUGGAAAGUCAUUAAGAACAAUCUUGUAGUGGCUAUCAGAUUUUUAAAAAUAAUUAGCAGCUUCACUUCCACUUUUCAUAUAAACCAGAGCCUUGGUAUUUUAGCUGCAAAAUUCGGUACGUUGAGAACGAAAACCAGUAGUCACCUUCUAGAAGUCAGCUUUAUCCCCUGAACUCUUUGUGCUGGUGGUGGAUAUAGGACAGUCUGAAUGAAGACCCACUUAAGGCACAUUUUCUCAUUAAGUAGUCUAAAUUCCAAACCUUUGUUUAAAUGUAUUAAUUCACCUUCCUGCAGUGUAGGUUCUCAAUAGGUCAAUAUGGCCAAUAUCAAUAUGGGCAAAUUUAGAUUGCCUUUUUCACCGAGUUCACUAAAAAUGUCAGGUUACCUAUAAUGGAGAAGAGGUUAUUCUAAAAGAUUCAUCACCUCUUCUACAUUCUUGGAAAUGUAAUUUUGACAUGAAGGUUCCACAAGGAAAGAAGAUACUUAUAUGCACAUUCUAACCUUAUAAUUUUUCAGUGAAAAAUUGAGUACUAUUUAUUGGCUAUGCUUUGGGGCAUUAUCUUAUUUUCUAUUUAAUUUUGGCUUCUUGAUAGGAAACGGACUAAAUUUUUUACAUAAAUCAUUUUUUUUAUUGUUCACUUCAAUAAAUCUUAAGUGUUUUUUAAGUUCACCCCUAAUAUAAGUACAUAUUUUGAGUGUGCAGCUAUGAGAGGUUUUUUUUUUUUUUAAGAUUACUCUCAACAUUUCAGUACAAAUUACAAAAUGAUGAUGUUCUAAAACAUCCAUCUUUAAAAUUUCUUUGUCAUAGGAAGUACCCCAGAAAAGCAGUCAAUCUCUCAUGAACUGUUAAUAACAUUCCCUUUACAUUGAAUGUACAGGUUCAGUGGGUUUGUGUUGAAGGUUCUGCUUUGUCAUUAUAGAAAAGGUCAGCAAAUUUUGAAUGUCUUUCUGUAAAAGAAAAGUCCAUGGCCCAUCUUUUAAAUGUAACAACUCCUAAGUUCUUUACAAUAGACAACUAGAGAACUGUAGAGGGGAAAAUAAUUUUUAACUGCUCCCUAUCUCAUUAAGUAUCCUAAGGAUUCUUCUAUUUUAAACACUUAAAAAAAAAAAAAAGGAAUUAACCACAUUGAUGAUAUCCUGGAACAUUUACUGCAUACUUCUUAUUUCAACUUCUUUGCCACAGUAGCUUACUGGUGACUGAAUGACUGGCUAAGUGAUUUUCCCCUAAGUUGCUGUCUCUCUAAAUUUAUCUGAGAAUUCCUUUCCUAGGUAGAGCCCCUGUUCCAUUAGAAAUUACACAGAAUUUAUUAAAGAAGAAAUUUGCUGUUGAGAUUUCAUGUUCUCCAGUAAAACUUCUCUUGAAUUCUUCACAUAUACACACAAAAGGUUUAUUUUAUUUUGGAAAUAGAAUCUAGCAAGGACCAUAGGCAGAGACAUGUAGGAUAUCUGUCUUCUUUUAUCUUUUACCCAACCUUUCCUACUAUAUAAUUUGCUCUAAUACUUCUCUCUUCAUAUAUUAAGCAAUUUUCCCUAUAAUUCUUUCUACAAUAUUUACUGGUUAAGGAUUGCAUUUUAAUUUGUCACUAUGUUGUUUUUUUUUUUUUUUAAAGUCAUUUAUCCAUUUUUACUGUGGGAGGAAUAGCAAAAUUCGGUACGUUAAGUCUUUGCCAUGUAAUAUAACUUUAUUUGUUAGUACUAUGUAGUGGGUAUUGUAAAACAUUGAAAGAAUUGGAUUGAGUAUUGCAUGGCUUUAAACAGGUCUUUAAGAAAUACAGAUAUUUGUCUUUAUGUUCUGAAUGUUUAAGUUUUAGAUGUCUUGUUAAUAGUGAUGGCUUCAUAUUCUCAUAAAUUAUCAGCACAAUAUUUAGGACUGAUUGUUGGUUUUGAUAGUGGACACAAAUCUAUAUUUCAUAAUAAAUUCUUGGUGGUUUUGCAGGUUUUUUCCUCAUAGACAGGAUUAGCAUGACCAACUGAUGUGGUUAAUAGGGUGUUCAUGCUAGGAAAAAAGUGUUCAACUCUACCAUUUUCCUUUUAUGUGCUUAUGUUUACAUUAUUAAUACCCUAAUUCUGCAUUCCUUUGCAGGAAUAUUUCAAAGACUUUUUCCCAUUUGGUGUGGGUUAUUUUGGUUAAAAUAACUCAUUUAAUCAGAUGCCCAUAAACUGCCCUAGAAUUUAAAACAUGGAAAAUAACAAGAAAGAGUGGCUACUGAAAUUCUUAUACCUUUGUGGCAUUGCCUCUGAGGAAGCCUUAACUGGAACACACCUUGAACACUGUAGCAGAUGGAGACCAUCUGACCCAGGGAUAGACUAAGUAUACAGUAUCAGUUUGCAUGUUAAAUAUCAGCAGAGUGCAGCAUCUUUCUCAACUUCUCAAGAUUAAAGAACUUUUUUGCAAUAUUUUUUUUUUUCCUGCACCAAAUAGAUUGUCUUUUACACCCUAUUUUGAAAUUUACUGAUUUAGAGUAUGGUUAAAAAUGUUUUUUUUUUUCUUUCAUAGUCCUUGAAAAUUAAAGUAAUUUGCAUGCUAUUUAAAAUUCCAGCCUUAUGUAACAGUUCACAAUUUUACCAUCACCUUAAUUCCCUCAAAUUUUUUAUUUCCAAGGGUAUCGAACUUUCUGAAUUAAACCACCAUACAAUCUUUGAUAAAUAUUAAGGCAAAGUUUGAUUAAAGUAAUAACCUACAUCCAUGAGAGUGUGAUAGCUAAAUACUAUAAUUAGGACUGUAUAAAUAAGGUAAGCAAUCUGUUUUUAACUUUGCCCUUUUUUGAGGGAUGAGACAAUUUGUUUAUUAGAAAUACUCUUUGUGAAUUAACAUAUAAUUUGUUUACCUCUACUUUGAAGCAGCCUGUUAGUUUUCUUCUUGGGACUUUUAACUUCUUUUUUCAUUGAAACUUUUGAAUAUGCAGACAUAUUCUUGGCAUUUAUUUAAUUUGUAGCCAUUUAAAGAAAAUAAUAGCAUUAAGCUGGAAAAUACUUUAAAAUGCUCAGGUUUGGAUAGAUAAAGGAAUAAUGUUCCCACACAUUUUAAGUUUGAAAAUUUAAUGAUUACUUUCUGUUAUUUGAUGUGUCUUAGAAAUUGUGAGGACUAAUAAUUUCUUCUGGGAAAUUUUCUAACUUACGCUCGCUUAAUUUUUCUCCAACUUUUACUAAUAUUUUAGAGGAAAUAAUUUAAUUCUUUUUUAAAAAUUCUUGUUUUUAACAGUGAUGUUACAUUGCUGUCCUAUAUUUUAGAUGUAAUGGUCAUAGAUAAGUACACACUGUGUAAGAAAAUAAACAUCAUUUCGUGAAAUGGGCUGUAGCACAGGAUGAAUAAAGAAGUUUUGAAAAUUAGCUUCCAUUUCAGUUGUUACCUCUGAUGAUUAAAAGGGAUGUGUGUAUGUGUGUGUGUAUUUUAUACAUGUACGCACACAUAAUCUGGAUCAAAUUGUAUUUAUAUAUUAUACGUAUACAUGUAUUUGUGUGUACCCACAAAAUGUGCACACACAUUUGUAUAUAUGUGUAUAAACACUUUAUUGAUUCUUGACCAGAGGGUACGUGGUAGAUCAGGCAGCUGUAAUUCUAGAUUGCUUUUUAAAAAUUGGUGGUGUGUUCUAGAGCUAAGGGAUCAGGAGGUAGCAGGCGGAGGAGGGGGUGACUAAUGACUGGGUAGGUCUGGGGAGGUGACUGCUACCCCUUUCUUCAUUUUAGUAGUAAAUCAACCUGCUUUUGCUGAAAUGUCUUAUGUUUGCCUUUGAGAAGCUCCUGUUAACUGUGUUGUUCUUUCCAGAAAUAGGAGGGAGAAGGAAGGGGAAUUAUAGAGACAAAAUUUGACUUUUAAAAUCCUAUCUUUGAGAGGAGAAAUUUCAAGUGCGUGGAUUUCAUCUUUUCUACUUAGUGGAUUUUUGAUGGGGUGUUUUUAAAGUUCCCCUUUGUACAUUUGGCUACAUCUACCAAACAUCAGUCCAAACAUUAGUCAAAUAGUAUUUCACUUGCAAUAUUAAUUUUUCUCAUAUAAGUAAGGAAGAAUGUUUCAUUACUGCCAUAGUGCAGUCACUGGGUGUGUUUUGAAGAUGGCCUAGGUGUGAUUUAAUGUGUUGGGAUGUCCUGGGUUUUUCUGUCGACUGGCUACCAUAUAGCUAGUUUCCAUUCGCCGUGAUCAGGUACCAUUUGGAGCCCAAAUCCAAGUCUUCAGGAACUUUUAUUAAGAGACUAAGGCUAUUAAGAGAGGUUUUUUUUUUGUUUUUUUGUUUUUUUGUUUUUUUUUUUAAAGUAGAGUCAUCAGAAUUAAGAGAGAGGGCACUCAUAGUGCAGAGAAAAUGGGAAGAUGGGGUGCCCCUCAUCAUUCAGCAUCAGUUUCUAGUACCCUCAGAUUCCCAAGCACACUAAUGAUGUUCAACAAAAAAACUUUUUUUAAAAAAUAUUUUAUUUAUUUAUUAGCGAGCGAGAGAGAGACAGCGAGAGAGGGAACACAAACAAGGGGAGUGGGAGAGGGAGAAGCAGGCUUCCCGCCUAGCAGGGAGCCCAAUGUGGGGCUCGAUCCCAGGACCCUGGGAUCACGACCUGAGCCGAAGGCAGACACUUAACGACUGAGCCACCCAGGCACCCCUCAACAAGAAAGCUUUUAAUAAUGUGGAUACUGAUGUUCUGCAGGCAAAGUAACGCAUUACUCUAGGGUUAACACAGCUAGCUAAAACAAUUUAGAAACCACUUUCUGGAAAUGGGAUUAAGUUUAUAUUAAAAUCAACUUCACUUUCGAUUUCAGCCAUUACUCUUCAAAGCAGUAUAGAGGGCUACAUGAAAAGUGUUUACUCUCAGAAAUAGUAUACAUUGAAGUGUAGGGUUUUAUUCAUAUUGAUAUCCUUAUGUUUCCCCUCUGUGAAGUUAUUGCUUAUUUGAAGUGAAGAGGUUUUGUUUAAGAUUUUUAAGAUUUUGUUUUGUUUUUUGGGUUUUUUUUUUCUUUUUUUGGAUCAAACCAUUUUAUUGAGGAACUUCAGAGAAAAGUUGAAGGGGAGGAAGACAAUGAGAUCAACAUUCUCGGCCUGCCUGAAAUCUUUCUAGCGUCACAGUUGCCAAAGCUAUUUUAAAAUUUUUUAAUAGAUUUAUAACUAGUAUAUAUUGCAUAGUAUUGCUGUUACCUCUGUUCCAAAUUCACCCAGUAGUAUCUACCUUCCUAACCCAGCUCUGGGCAGCCAUGAUUAAAUUCUUAAUUGUUCUUUCAGACAUUAUAUAUAUUCAAGCAAUUCGAAUUUAUAUUCUUAUUUUUUCACUUUGUUUUAUGCAAAAAGUAGCACACCAUACACACUAUUUUGUCCCUUCCUUUUUUCAUAGAGUAAACAGACUAUUUCCUCAUUCUUUUUUUUAACAAUUGCAUUAUUCUGCAUUAUAUGGAUAGACCAUAUUUUACUUACCCAGUCUCUAAUUAAUGUAUAUUUAAGUUGUUGUUUUUUGCUAAUACUGUGAUGAGUAACCUUGUGCAUAUGUCAUUUCCUAUCUGUGUAAGUUUAUUCAUAAAUUAAAUUCCCAAGAGUAGACUUGCAGUGUCAAAGAGUAUUUGUAAUUUUGAGGAAUAUUGUCACAUUGCCAUACAUGAGGUUUGUACCAAUUUAUGCUCCCACUAGCGACAAAUGAGAGUACUGUUUCCCUACUGGCUUAUCAUUAGAGUAUGCUAUUGAAUUUCUGGAUUUUUGUCCAUCUGCUAGGUGAAAAUUGUAUCCCAGAGUAGUUUUUAUUUGCAUAUUUCUUAUGAGUAACUUUAAGCUUUUCAUAUUGAUUUUUAUUUCCAUGUACUACCAGUUCAUAUUUUUUGCCCAUUUCUAUUGAGUUUUUAUUGUUGGCUGUUGUUAGGCUUUUGUGAUAAGAGGGAGUGGCCAGUAUUUUUCCCAGUUUGAUAUUUGUUUUUCAAUUUUGUGUGUGUGUGUGUGUGUAUGUGCGUGCGUAUUGCCAUGUGGAGGUUUUUUACUUAUAUGGGAUCAAAUUCAUCAGAGUUUCCUUUUAUGACUAAAAUUUUGAGUCAGAAAGACCUCUCUACUACUCAAAAUGUAUAAAGAAGUUAUAUUUUCUUUAGCUAUUGGUUUCAUUUUUUUUCUAUAUGAAUCUUCCACCUCUUUGGAGUACAUUUUUUGGUUCACUGAGUGGAUCCAACUUUACCUUUCUGCAGGUAGCUCCUGUUGUUCUGACAGCAUUUAAUCAAUAUAUUUUCUCCAGAUGAUCAGAGCAUACUCAGAAUGGGUUUAAUUAGAAUAUCCUUUAAUGUUUUGAAUCUGAGGGUGAUAAAUGAAAAAAUGAGUAAUAGAGAAGGUAACAUUUUAUAUUUUUAGUUCCCUUCUGAGUUACCAAACUUUUAAUUAUCUAUAGGUACCCACAAGUUGAAAGGAACUCUUCCCAAACUUUUCUACUAUAUUUGCUAGAGUUUAGUGUAGGUUAUCGUCUGGGUUUAUCUAUCAAAACUUCAUCGUGAAACCAUUUCUACCACUUUCUCUAGAAUUUAGGGGGGAAAAAAAAGACAUUUAUGGUUGGUAGCAUUUAUUUUUUAGUCAAUCAAAUACUACAUAGAAUCCCAGAUUUUUGGUUGUUGACUGGUUCCUGAUUGUUGAAAAAUAAAAAGUGUGUGUGUGUACAUUUUUGUAUGCUGUCAUUUAAAUGGGUAGGUGUUCUUAGAUUGUCAUACUGAGCACUAUGUAUGUCAAUUAUGUGCUAGAUGUUAGAGAUCAGGAAAUACAACAUAGCUCCUGAUCCUAGGUACUAGUUGGCAAACUAUUUUUAAUUGGUGUCUGAGGUUGUUCAUGCAUACUUAUGUAACUAGUUUUCUGAAUUCUCCUCCCCAAAAGACUUUAAGUAGUUAACUUGAGAGCAAACUUAGAAGGUGGAAGAGAUAUGAUAUUCUACUGUGGUUCAUUAUAGCACUGACUGGUAUUGCUUAUGGUGACUUGUAGUUGGAUAUGUCUCCUCUGUUAGCUAUUAGGAUUUCCAGUGGUUUAUGCAAAUUCUGAAUAAUAAUAAAAGAACCACAAGGUUUUAUAAGCUGAUUUCUAUUCUAGUCCACAUUAUUUCAGGAGUGCUUUCUAUUGUUAAAUAUUUCACUCUAUUUUGUUAGGGUACUUUCUUCCUAAUCUGUUUAUCUUCAUAUUUUCAAGUAUGAAAACCUGUUUCUAAUACCAAAAAAAGUCACAGAUAUUUGUGAUUUUUGUAUAUGGUAACUAAGAAAAGACAUGACAAAAACCUAUCAUUUCUUGCAGUGAGAUUGGAGUUGAUACUG
Mirounga angustirostris (Northern elephant seal) is the source of this 28242-nucleotide RNA transcript. It is a transcript of the gene named TSC22 domain family member 1, with no coding region annotated. The record is from RefSeq and is a predicted model, not a curated record. The transcript is spliced from 3 exons. Lineage: Eukaryota; Metazoa; Chordata; Mammalia; Carnivora; Phocidae.